GACGUAGGGCGCGAGCGUUGUCCGGAUUUAUUGGGCGUAAAGAGCUCGUAGGCGGCUCAUUGCGUCAACCGUGAAAACCAGCAGCUCAACUGUUGGCUUGCGGUUGAUACGGGUGGGCUGGAGUUCGGUAGGGGAGACUGGAAUUCCUGGUGUAGCGGUGAAAUGCGCAGAUAUCAGGAGGAACACCGGUGGCGAAGGCGGGUCUCUGGGCCGAUACUGACGCUGAGGCGCGAAAGCGUGGGGAGCAAACAGG
RNAcentral lists this ribosomal RNA (253 nucleotides) under uncultured bacterium. RNAcentral's name for it is "partial 16S ribosomal RNA". It matches the Rfam family "Bacterial small subunit ribosomal RNA", at positions 524 to 776 of the family's 1533-position model. The record is from RNAcentral.